GAUGAACGCUGGCGGCGUGCCUAAUACAUGCAAGUCGAGCGAACGGACGAGAAGCUUGCUUCUCUGAUGUUAGCGGCGGACGGGUGAGUAACACGUGGAUAACCUACCUAUAAGACUGGGAUAACUUCGGGAAACCGGAGCUAAUACCGGAUGAUAUUUUGAACCGCAUGGUUCAAAAGUGAAAGACGGUCUUGCUGUCACUUAUAGAUGGAUCCGCGCUGCAUUAGCUAGUUGGUAAGGUAACGGCUUACCAAGGCAACGAUGCAUAGCCGACCUGAGAGGGAGGGCAGCCAACAGGGAGGUAGAACGCGGCCCUGCCGACGGCGGGAGGCAGCAGUGGGUAAUGAUAGGCAAGGGGCAAAAGCUUGAAAGAGGAUUGUCGAAGGAGAGUGGAUAUUGUUCGGAUCCUAAACAACUCUUACAAGGAAAGAACAUAAGGGCAAGGAACAGAGCACAUCUGGACGGUACCUGAGGAGAAAGCCAAGACUAACUACUUG
Molecule: ribosomal RNA, 497 nt
Filed under: uncultured bacterium
Lineage: Bacteria
Description: partial 16S ribosomal RNA
Rfam family: Bacterial small subunit ribosomal RNA
Source: RNAcentral